Triticum aestivum (bread wheat) is the source of this 126-nucleotide non-coding RNA. NCBI's taxonomy places the organism in Eukaryota, Viridiplantae, Streptophyta, Magnoliopsida, Poales, Poaceae. The record is from Rfam.
UUUAUACUCCUUCCGUUUAAAAAAACUUGUCCCAAACUUGUCUCUCGAAUGAAUGUAUCCAGCACUAACUUGGUGCUAGAUACAUCCAUUUGAGGGACAGGCUUUUUCGGACGGAGGGGGUACCAA